GAUGAACGCUAGCGGCAGGCCUAAUACAUGCAAGUCGAACGGGGCCUGGCAGCAAUGCCAGGUUCAGUGGCGCACGGGUGCGUAACGCGUAUGCAACCUACCUUAAACUGGGGGAUAGCCCGGGGAAACCCGGAUUAAUACCGCAUAAGAUCACACGAGGGCAUCUGAGAGUGAUUAAAGAUUUAUUGGUUUAAGAUGGGCAUGCGUGCCAUUAGCUAGUUGGUAGGGUAACGGCCUACCAAGGCUACGAUGGCUAGGGGUUCUGAGAGGAUGAUCCCCCACACUGGUACUGAGAUACGGGCCAGACUCCUACGGGAGGCAGCAGUAGGGAAUAUUGGGCAAUGGACGCAAGUCUGACCCAGCCAUGCCGCGUGCAGGAAGAAGGCCUUCUGGGUUGUAAACUGCUUUUAUCUGGGAAGAAACGCCCAUGCGUGGGAAACUGACGGUACCAGAUGAAUAAGCACCGGCUAACUCCGUGCCAGCAGCCGCGGUAAUAC
Molecule: ribosomal RNA, 497 nt
Filed under: uncultured bacterium
Lineage: Bacteria
Description: bacterial SSU rRNA
Rfam family: Bacterial small subunit ribosomal RNA
Source: RNAcentral